Long non-coding RNA from Neoarius graeffei (lesser salmon catfish), 387 nucleotides. RefSeq lists it as uncharacterized. The record is from RefSeq and is a predicted model, not a curated record. Lineage: Eukaryota; Metazoa; Chordata; Actinopteri; Siluriformes; Ariidae. The transcript is spliced from 3 exons.
AAUAAUCCAGGUGUGUGUUCGACGAGUCUCCGUUAGACGUGCUGCUACGCAGAAAAGUCCGACGCAAACGGAGUCAUCUUUUGAGCGAACUAAGAUGACUUUUAUUCAUGAGCUUUCUUUAUUACAGCCGCUGUAGGAUCAGCAUUAUCUCGACAGACUGACAACUGGUUACUAACGCUAUACAUAUGGCAAUGAAACACAUACUGCAGACUUGGAUUUGACAGCAGAUGGGAGUGAAGGCAAUCACACUCAACUAACUUUACCCCAGUCAUUACAAGUGGAGCCCCAUAGGCAUAGAGUGUGGAUACAUAAAGAAACCCAUCGAGUUGUUUUCUGAUGGUUUCGGUCCUGUGCCUGCCUGCCUGCCGCCACAGGAAACCCAACAGC